This 105-nucleotide ribosomal RNA is filed under the name Lepisosteus oculatus (spotted gar). Lineage: Eukaryota; Metazoa; Chordata; Actinopteri; Semionotiformes; Lepisosteidae. The record is from RNAcentral.
GUCAGCAUCCAUAUCACCCUGCUGGCUGCCCACUGAAGCUAAGCAGGGUUGAGCCUGGUCAGUACCUGGAUGUGAGACCUCCUGGGAAACUGGUUGCUGCUGGAA